GGAUUAAUACCUCAUAGUAUAGUACUUUGGCAUCAAGGAACUAUUAAAGUCACAACGGCAAAAGAUGAGCAUGCGUCCCAUUAGCUAGUUGGUAAGGUAACGGGCUUACCAAGGCUACGAUGGGUAGGGGUCCUGAGAGGGAGAUCCCCCACACUGGUACUGAGACACGGACCAGACUCCUACGGGAGGCAGCAGUGAGGAAUAUUGGACAAUGGGCGCAAGCCUGAUCCAGCCAUGCCGCGUGCAGGAUGACGGUCCUAUGGAUUGUAAACUGCUUUUAUACAGGAAGAAACACUCCGACGUGUCGGAGCUUGACGGUACUGUAAGAAUAAGGAUCGGCUAACUCCGUG
RNAcentral lists this ribosomal RNA (350 nucleotides) under uncultured bacterium. Its description in RNAcentral is "bacterial SSU rRNA". It matches the Rfam family "Bacterial small subunit ribosomal RNA", at positions 160 to 507 of the family's 1533-position model. The record is from RNAcentral.